RNAcentral lists this ribosomal RNA (515 nucleotides) under uncultured bacterium. RNAcentral's name for it is "bacterial SSU rRNA". It matches the Rfam family "Bacterial small subunit ribosomal RNA", at positions 126 to 674 of the family's 1533-position model. The record is from RNAcentral.
GUGCCUUUAGGUUCGGAAUAGCUCCUGGAAACGGGUGGUAAUGCCGAAUGUGCCCUUCGGGGGAAAGAUUUAUCGCCUUUAGAGCGGCCCGCGUCUGAUUAGCUAGUUGGUUGAGGUAACGGCUCACCAAGGCGACGAUCAGUAGCUGGUCUGAGAGGAUGACCAGCCACAUUGGGACUGAGACACGGCCCAAACUCCUACGGGAGGCAGCAGUGGGGAAUCUUGCGCAAUGGGCGAAAGCCUGACGCAGCCAUGCCGCGUGAAUGAUGAAGGUCUUAGGAUUGUAAAAUUCUUUCACCGGGGACGAUAAUGACGGUACCCGGAGAAGAAGCCCCGGCUAACUUCGUGCCAGCAGCCGCGGUAAUACGAAGGGGGCUAGCGUUGCUCGGAAUUACUGGGCGUAAAGGGCGCGUAGGCGGACAUUUAAGUCAGGGGUGAAAUCCCAGAGCUCAACUCUGGAACUGCCUUUGAUACUGGGUGUCUUGAGUGUGAGAGAGGUAUGUGGAACUCCGAGU